This 480-nucleotide long non-coding RNA is filed under the name Citrus x clementina. Its description in RNAcentral is "Citrus clementina (C. clementina) long non-coding RNA (CCLE_LNC000070)". The record is from RNAcentral. Lineage: Eukaryota; Viridiplantae; Streptophyta; Magnoliopsida; Sapindales; Rutaceae.
UUAAUAUGAUUAACUCAAAAUCGAAAAUAAAAAAAUUAUUAGUUAUUCGGAGGUCGAGAACCCUCGGAGAUCCCCUGUUAUUAUUCAGAGAGGGAAUAAUGAUUCUCUCAAGUAAUUUUGACGGGAAUAGAGAGGGGACGGAGACAUAUAUAAAAUAUCGAAAAAGAGACAAAGACAUACAUAAAAUAUCAGAGAUGAUUACAGAAAGAUUUAUCUCCUCUCCUCCCCUCCCCUCUCUAUUGCCAUCCCUCCCCACCACUUGACCAAAUGCGAAAUGGACUCAGCACCUUUCUAGAAAAUUCAUGGAUGCUAGCCACUGGCCAGUCAACAAUAUAAAUGACGCCCGAAAUCGACAAAUUUAAUGCGACAACCCUUUAAAUCAUAUUCAUUGAAACGCGGAGCAUAUGUUUCAAUGGAGUCGGUAUUCUUGUACCUGCCCAUUAAAAAUAUUAUUUCUUUCACUGUUAUAUAUUUUUAUUA